AACGAACGCUGGCGGCGUGCCUAACACAUGCAAGUCGUGCGAGAAAGUUCCUUCGGGAGCGAGUAAAGCGGCGCACGGGUGAGUAACACGUAGGUAACCUGCCCCCCAGUCUGGAACAACUAGAGGAAACUCUAGCUAAUGCCGGAUGAGACCACGAUCCCUUCGGGGGUUGCGGCCAAAGAUGGCCUCUACUUGUAAGCUAUCGCUGAGGGAUGGGCCUGCGGGCCAUUAGCUUGUUGGUGAGGUAACGGCUCACCAAGGCUGUGAUGGCUAGCUGGUCUGAGAGGAUGACCAGCCACACUGGGACUGAGACACGGCCCAGACUCCUACGGGAGGCAGCAGUGGGAAUUUUGGACAAUGGGGGCAACCCUGAUCCAGCAAUGCCGCGUGAGUGAAGAAGGCCUUCGGGUUGUAAAGCUCUUUUGUCUAGGGAAGAAAAGGUCGUAGGCUAAUAUCCACGACUGCUGACGGUACCUG
This 477-nucleotide ribosomal RNA is filed under the name uncultured bacterium. RNAcentral describes it as "bacterial SSU rRNA". It matches the Rfam family "Bacterial small subunit ribosomal RNA", at positions 29 to 481 of the family's 1533-position model. The record is from RNAcentral.